GCUCAGAACUCAAAGGAAUUGACGGGGCCCGCACAAGCGUGGAGCAUGUGGUUUAAUUCGAUGAUACGCGAGGAACCUUACCUGGGCUCAAAUGUAUGUUGACGUAUUCUGAAAGGGAUACUUCUUCGGACAAUAUACAAGGUGCUGCAUGGUUGUCGUCAGCUCGUGCCGUGAGGUGUCGGGUUAAGUCCCAUAACGAGCGCAACCCCUAUCAUUAGUUGCCAUCAGGUCAAGCUGGGGACUCUAAUGAAACUGCCUACGCAAGUAGUGAGGAAGGUGGGGAUGACGUCAAAUCAGCACGGCCCUUACGUCCAGGGCUACACACGUGCUACAAUGGCCGGUACAAAGGGCAGCUACCUGGUGACAGGAUGCUAAUCUCAAAAGCCGGUCUCAGUUCGGAUCGGAGUCUGCAACCCGACUCCGUGAAGUUGGAUUCGCUAGUAAUCGCGCAUCAGCCAUGGCGCGGUGAAUACGUUCCCGGGCCUU
This 486-nucleotide ribosomal RNA is filed under the name uncultured Sphingobacteriales bacterium. RNAcentral's name for it is "bacterial SSU rRNA". It matches the Rfam family "Bacterial small subunit ribosomal RNA", at positions 892 to 1382 of the family's 1533-position model. Lineage: Bacteria; Pseudomonadati; Bacteroidota; Sphingobacteriia; Sphingobacteriales. The record is from RNAcentral.